GACGAACGCUGGCGGCGUGCUUAACACAUGCAAGUCGAACGGAAAGGCCCUGCUUUUGUGGUGUUCUCGAGUGGCGAACGGGUGAGUAACACGUGAGUAACCUGCCCUUGACUUUGGGAUAACUUCAGGAAACUGGGGCUAAUACCGGAUAGGAGCUCCUGCUGCAUGGUGGGGGUUGGAACGUUUCGGCGGUUGGGGAUGGACUCGCGGCUUAUCAGCUUGUUGGUGGGGUAGUGGCUUACCCAGGCUUUGACGGGUAGCCGGCCUGAGAGGGUGACCGGCGACAUGAGGACUGAGAGACGGCCCAGACUCCUACGGGAGGCAGCAGUGGGGAAUAUUGCACAAUGGGCGGAAGCCUGAUGCAGAAACGCCGCGGGCGGGAUGACGGCCUGCGGGUUGUAAACCGCUUUCGCCUGUGACGAAGCGGGAGUGACGGUAAUGGGUAAAGAAGCACCGGCUAACUACGUG
Molecule: ribosomal RNA, 468 nt
Filed under: uncultured bacterium
Lineage: Bacteria
Description: partial 16S ribosomal RNA
Rfam family: Bacterial small subunit ribosomal RNA
Source: RNAcentral